Molecule: ribosomal RNA, 1520 nt
Filed under: metagenome
Description: bacterial SSU rRNA
Rfam family: Bacterial small subunit ribosomal RNA
Source: RNAcentral
AGAGUUUGAUCAUGGCUCAGAACGAACGCUGGCGGCGUGCCUAAAACAUGCAAGUCGAACGAUUAAAGCCCCUUCGGGGGUGUAUAAAGUGGCGAACGGGUGAGUAAUGCGUGGGUAAUCUGCCUCUAGGAAGGGGAUAACAGCUGGAAACGGCUGCUAAUACCAUAUAAUGUUGUGCAUCGACUGGGUGUGCAACCAAAGGCGGUUGAGGCUUGCAAGCCGUCGCCUAAAGAUGAACCCGCGUUCCAUUAGCUUGUUGGUGAGGUAACGGCUCACCAAGGCUGCGAUGGAUAGCCGGCCUGAGAGGGUGAUCGGCCACACUGGGACUGAGAUACGGCCCAGACUCCUACGGGAGGCAGCAGUUGGGAAUAUUGCGCAAUGGACGAAAGUCUGACGCAGCGACGCCGCGUGAGCGAUGAAGGCCUUCGGGUCGUAAAGCUCUGUUGUUGGGGACGAACCGGUGGGAUAGGAAAUGAUCCCACUCUGACGGUACCCAACGAGGAAGCCCCGGCUAACUCCGUGCCAGCAGCCGCGGUAAUACGGAGGGGGCGAGCGUUGUUCGGAAUCACUGGGCGUAAAGAGCGUGUAGGCGGUUGUGUGUGUCAGACGUGAAAGCUCACGGCUUAACCGUGGAAUUGCGUUUGAAACUGCAUAACUUGAGUACAGGAGAGGAGAGCGGAAUUUCCAGUGUAGCGGUGAAAUGCUCAAAUACUGGAAGGAACACCGGUGGCGAAGGCGGCUCUCUGGCCUGGUACUGACGCUGAGACGCGAAAGCUAGGGGAGCGAACAGGAUUAGAUACCCUGGUAGUCCUAGCCGUAAACGUUGGGCACUAGGUGUGGGAGGUGUCGACUCCUUCCGUGCCGCAGCUAACGCAUUAAGUGCCCCGCCUGGGGAGUACGGUCGCAAGACUGAAACUCAAAGGAAUUGACGGGGGCCCGCACAAGCGGUGGAGCAUGUUCUUUAAUUCGAAGCAACGCGAAGAGCCUUACCAGGGUCUGACAUGCAUUGGAAAUCCUUAUGGAAACAUUUGGGUGUUCUUAGAACGCCUUUGCACAGGUGUUGCAUGGCUGUCGUCAGCUCGUGUCGUGAGAUGUUGGGUUAAGUCCCGCAACGAGCGCAACCCUUGUUCUUAGUUGCCAUCAGGUUAAGCUGGGCACUCUAGGGAGACUGCCGCGGAUAACGUGGAGGAAGGUGGGGAUGACGUCAAGUCAUCAUGGCCUAUGGUCCUGGGCUAGAAACGUGCUACAAUGGCCGGUACAAAGGGUUGCGAUACCGCGAGGUGGAGCCAAUCCCAAAAAGCCGGUCUCAGUUCGGAUUGGAGUCUGCAACUCGACUCCAUGAAGUUGGAAUCGCUAGUAAUCGCGGAUCAGCAAUGCCGCGGUGAAUACGUUCCCGGGCCUUGUACACACCGCCCGUCACAUGACCCGAGUUGGGUGCACCCGAAGUCGCUGGCCUAACCCGCAAGGGAGGGAAGUGCCGAAGGUGUGCUUGAUAAGGGAGAUGAAGUCGUAACAAGGUA